GCCACACGGGGUAAGAGCUGAACGCAUCUAAGCUCGAAACCCACUUGGAAAAGAGACACCGCUGAGGUCCCGCGUAUAAGACGCGGUCGAUAGACUCGGGGUGUGCGCGUCGAGGUAACGAGACGUUGAGCCCACGAGCACUAACAGACCAAAGCCAUCAUUCA
Molecule: ribosomal RNA, 164 nt
Filed under: Haloarcula sp. 1CSR25-25
Lineage: Archaea; Methanobacteriati; Methanobacteriota; Halobacteria; Halobacteriales; Haloarculaceae
Description: partial 23S ribosomal RNA
Rfam family: Archaeal large subunit ribosomal RNA
Source: RNAcentral